This 724-nucleotide ribosomal RNA is filed under the name uncultured soil bacterium. RNAcentral describes it as "bacterial SSU rRNA". It matches the Rfam family "Bacterial small subunit ribosomal RNA", at positions 55 to 757 of the family's 1533-position model. The record is from RNAcentral.
AUGCAAGUCGAACGCGAAAGUUCCCUUCGGGGAGCGAGUAGAGUGGCGCACGGGUGAGUAACACGUAGGUAAUUUGCCUUCGGGUGGGGAAUAACAGCCGGCAACGGCUGCUAAUACCGCAUAAUGCAGCGGCUCGACAUCGAGACAGUUGUUAAAGCGGGGGAUCGCAAGACCUCGCGCCUGAAGAGAAGCCUGCGGCAGAUAAGCUAGUUGGCAGGGUAAUGGCCUACCAAGGCGACGAUCUGUAACCGGCCUGAGAGGGCGGUCGGUCACACUGACACUGACAUACGGGUCAGACUCCUACGGGAGGCAGCAGUCGGGAAUUUUGGGCAAUGGGCGAAAGCCUGACCCAGCAACGCCGCGUGAAGGAUGAAAUCCCUCGGGAUGUAAACUUCGCAAGAAUGGGAAGAAUAAGUAGAAGAUAAUACCUUCUAUGAUGACGGUACCAUUUGUAAGCUCCGGCUAACUCCGUGCCAGCAGCCGCGGUAAUACGGGGGGAGCAAGCGUUGUUCGGAUUUACUGGGCGUAAAGGGCGCGUAGGCGGCCACGACAAGUCACUUGUGAAAUCUCCGGGCUUAACUCGGAACGGUCAAGUGAUACUGUCGGGCUAGAGUGCAGAAGGGGCAACUGGAAUUCUCGGUGUAGCGGUGAAAUGCGUAGAUAUCGAGAGGAACACCUGCGGCGAAGGCGGGUUGCUGGGCUGACACUGACGCUGAGGCGCGAA